This 82-nucleotide transfer RNA is filed under the name Martensiomyces pterosporus. RNAcentral's name for it is "tRNA-Leu". It matches the Rfam family "tRNA". From Rfam's summary of the family: Transfer RNA (tRNA) molecules are approximately 80 nucleotides in length. Their secondary structure includes four short double-helical elements and three loops (D, anti-codon, and T loops). Further hydrogen bonds mediate the characteristic L-shaped molecular structure. tRNAs have two regions of fundamental functional importance: the anti-codon, which is responsible for specific mRNA codon recognition, and the 3' end, to which the tRNAs corresponding amino acid is attached (by aminoacyl-tRNA synthetases). tRNAs cope with the degeneracy of the genetic code in two manners: having more than one tRNA (with a specific anti-codon) for a particular amino acid; and 'wobble' base-pairing, i.e. permitting non-standard base-pairing at the 3rd anti-codon position. The record is from RNAcentral. Lineage: Eukaryota; Fungi; Kickxellomycota; Kickxellomycetes; Kickxellales; Kickxellaceae.
GCUGAGGUGGUCGAGUGGUCUAAGACGCUGCACUCAAGUUGCAGUCUCGCAAGAGGCAUGGGUUCGAAUCCCAUCCUCAGCA